Molecule: long non-coding RNA, 368 nt
Organism: Carassius carassius (crucian carp)
Lineage: Eukaryota; Metazoa; Chordata; Actinopteri; Cypriniformes; Cyprinidae
Exons: 2
Source: RefSeq, a predicted model, not a curated record
GUGUUGUGUGCUACAUAAAAACAUGGUUUGAUUUUACACUGGUCUAAACAAAACAGCAGACGGUCUUAUUGAAAAUGCAAAUUCAUUCUCUUCCAGCAGAUGAUGCUUUCGGAAUGCCAUAAAUAUACCGUCUACCGUCAUACCUUUCAGUUACCAGUGGUAAGGUGUGACCGAAUCCAAUUUCAGCAUACUAAUUAUAUAGGACUUGGGCAGAUGGGAGGGGAAUCUGUUGUGGAUCUGGAUUAAAACAGUCUGACCUAGUUAAGAGGCAUGCCGGUCUGUUGACAUCAUCUACAGAGGAUCAGAAUCUGACUUGUGUUCUGUCAUGAAAGGGUUACAAUGGAAGAGUUGUUUACAGAACAAUCUUU